Molecule: ribosomal RNA, 253 nt
Filed under: uncultured bacterium
Lineage: Bacteria
Description: partial 16S ribosomal RNA
Rfam family: Bacterial small subunit ribosomal RNA
Source: RNAcentral
UACGGGGGGUGCGAGCGUUGUCCGGAAUCACUGGGCGUAAAGGGCUCGUAGGCGGUUUGUCACGUCGGGAGUGAAAACUCAGGGCUUAACCCUGAGCCUGCUUCCGAUACGGGCAGACUAGAGGUAUGCAGGGGAGAAUGGAAUUCCUGGUGUAGCGGUGAAAUGCGCAGAUAUCAGGAGGAACACCGGUGGCGAAGGCGGUUCUCUGGGCAUUACCUGACGCUGAGGAGCGAAAGUGUGGGGAGCGAACAGG